Molecule: ribosomal RNA, 484 nt
Filed under: uncultured bacterium
Lineage: Bacteria
Description: partial 16S ribosomal RNA
Rfam family: Bacterial small subunit ribosomal RNA
Source: RNAcentral
AUUGAACGCUGGCGGAAUGCUUUACACAUGCAAGUCGAGCGGCAGCACGGGGCCAACCCUGGUGGCGAGCGGCGACGGGUUGAGUAUUACACCGGACAAUGCCCGGCCGUGGGGGAAAAAACUCCGAAGGAAGUGCUAAUCCCCCAAAGGUCCUGAGGGGGAAAGGGGGGGUUGCCAAGACCCGGGGCGUUGGGGUUGGCCGAUGUCAGAUUAGCUAGUUGGUGGGGUAAAGGCCUACCAAGGCAACGAUCUGUAGCUGGUCUGAGAGGAUGAUCAGCCACACUGGGACUGAGACACGGCCCAGACUCCUACGGGAGGCAGCAGUGGGGAAUUUUGGACAAUGGGGGCAACCCUGAUCCAGCCAUUCCGCGUGAGUGAAGAAGGCCUUCGGGUUGUAAAGCUCUUUCGGCAGGAACGAAACGGUGAGCUCUAACAUAGCUUGCUAAUGACGGUACCUGAAGAAGAAGCACCGGCUAACUACGUG